CAAACUUACCAGGGCAGGGAUGGCUAAACUGUGGCCCUCUGGAUAUUGUUGGACUACAACUUCUACCAGCAUGGGACUUACUUCUGAGGAAUGGGUAUGUGGCAGAUGCCUAGCAUGAAAAAGAUCCUACAGGUGAGAAGGGAGGCAAUUGAUAUGUCUGGAGUACCAGGAGGCUCCUACUGGGAGAAAGAGCAGGAUAUCAAUCAAUCAAUCAAUCAAUCUGGUUCCACACUAAUGUUGCAUUUCUGUACUCGCUUUCCUUGCAGUAAAGAGUGUGGCUUACUUUCUACUGUAUGCUUAGUGAGAAUGCACCCAAGUGGUCCAAAUACCUUCAGCGGUUAGCACAAGCAGCAUCAGAACAAGUAGCUAUCCUUUUCCAAGAAUAUGAGUCUGCUAAUUGAU
Rhineura floridana is the source of this 402-nucleotide long non-coding RNA. RefSeq lists it as uncharacterized. Lineage: Eukaryota; Metazoa; Chordata; Lepidosauria; Squamata; Rhineuridae. The record is from RefSeq and is a predicted model, not a curated record. The transcript is spliced from 3 exons.